Molecule: long non-coding RNA, 2256 nt
Organism: Dunckerocampus dactyliophorus (ringed pipefish)
Lineage: Eukaryota; Metazoa; Chordata; Actinopteri; Syngnathiformes; Syngnathidae
Exons: 5
Source: RefSeq, a predicted model, not a curated record
UGGCGAUAAUUAACCAAAUCAAAUCCUCCUUUUUAGAGCCCAUCCAUACUGCGUAUCCCACUGUAUAACAGAUGUAAUCCCUUUUAUGCCUGCAGCUGAUCCAACAAGUGUGCUGUACUGCGCUCCGACUACUGCUGACAUGCACAUACAGUACGGAGGUCACCGUGAGCCACACCGACCUUGCAGGCUGUAGGCGCCAUCUCUGAACUCCAGCGUGAAGUAGUCGUAGGAGGAGCGGUUGGAGUCCAGGGUCCCAGUCACCUUCCUGCAGCCGAUGAAGCCGUGCUCGCCGCGCAGCACGAUGAUGGGACGGUUGAUGAGCUUCAUGAUGAACUCCUCAGACUCGCCUGCGACGGAGAUGCAACACAAGAGAGGAAAUUGUGGUCCAAGUGUGGACGGCAACAAGAGAACAAAAGCUGGCGAGUGCAUUGAUGGAAUGUGGCUGCGGGGAGGCGGUUGUCUCUUUUGUCUUAUCUCAAGAUGACAACACCUUGGAGAGGGUCCAUAAAGGGAUGCUUGAAGGAUUUUGGUGUGGAAAAAUCUGCAGAGAACCGUGACCUCAACCCCAUCAAACACAUUUGGGAUGAACUACAGACAUGCCUCCGGGAGCCCCAGCCUGCCACCUACUGGCGACAACUGCAAACUGCACCGCUUCCAGCGUCUGUGUGGAGAAUGGAUUUCACGCCACAUCUAUGCUAAUUGUGCGCCCUUGUGCGACAAAGAGAGCUCCCUUUAAGAACCUAAGCAGCAGCUGGGGGGCUGUGCCAGCGUCUUAUUCCAAAGACCCCCUUUGGAACCUCUCAACGACUUGAUGGGAGACAUGCAUGUAUGCAAAUUACUGACAAAUCCUUACCAAUAAGCAAUCAUUUCAACACGUAUGCAACAUUUUUGUUGUUUAGGCUCCAAGUUCAUUGAUUUGAAAGUGUUCUUUUGUUCUGCUGGUGUGAAUAAUUGAUGACUGUGAACCUUUUAAUGGUAAAAGAGCAUGUGUGUGACGGACACGCACCAUCUGCCAACACACACGCUGUUAAAAGAAAAAGUAUGGGACGCGCAAUCACUUUAAGAGCGGAAAGUGGCGGCCUUAUAAAUGCAGUAAAAACAGACAACGCAGCAAAAAUUGAACUAUAUCUUCUCAAGGGACAAUACGCAAUCAUGCUCUGCUUCACAAUGUCACCCUUAACCGCAGCUCACCACUGCCAGCAGCACUUGAGCCUUCUCAACUAUUUAGACAAUAAUGGCUGUGUGUUGAGUCACUUUCAGUGGAUAGUAAAGCUUUACUGCUAUUCAAGCUGUACGCUGACUACUCUUAAGUAUAUCCAAGUUUCAUUUCUAUAGUAUUAUCCCUUGAAAAGGUAUACUGUCAAACAAAUGCUUGGUGAAAUGUGACAUUUGUGAGAUACUAUGAUGUACAGUCGUCCCUCACCACUUGGUGCUUCGAAUUUUGCGGCUUCGCUCUAUCUCGUGUUUUCAAAAAUAUACUGUAUGAAUUAAUAAAUCAUGCUGUUUUGUAUUUAGAGAUGGCCUGUUGUUAGUCAAAAAAUAUGCAUAUUUAAGCACAUGUUACAUAUUUUUGCCUAAAUUAAGUCAUUCCAAGCAUAAAAAUGGCUACCUGAAGUAAAAUACAAAUAUAAGGCAUUCAGAAGACGCAUUCAAAGAUGAUAUGUAGUAUUCCACAAUGGUCACUUGUUGUCGGUACUGUUACUGGAAAGUUUGGUGAGACACACGAGCACCAGACUUGAUGGCCGCAGCAACAAACUACCGUAUGAUUGCAAGUUUCAAUGAUCUCACAACAGGCACAAUAAUCCCCAACACAGGCUACUGUUGUGGCCGUAACCCCCGCCCGGCUAAAACUCAACUCUGAACCCUUGACAUCACUUCCUGUCCACCCUCCAUUCACACAACCGCAACACAUUUAGUAGCAUUACUUUUAUAUAUUUCUCUUUUUUUCUUAUUAUGUCUACUAUGUUGGGGAAUAUGAGUGUAAAGGUGACUCUGGGGGUGUUGUUUCAUGUCUAGAGGGCUCUAACAAUGUUAAAACCGUAUUUAGAAGGUUGUAAACAGAUUUUCUGUGCUCUAACUAUGAAAAUAUUCCAUUUGUAAAUAAGAAAGCCUUCUUUGCGGAAAUUCACUUAUAAUGGUCAAGUCUGGAACCAACAGUUACAUUUAUAGUUAAAGUCAUGUAGCACCCACUUGUAUGGACUCUGUUACAAGUCAAAUAAAGUAUAACUUUAAUUCAUAAAAACACCAUCAUUCCCA